RNAcentral lists this transfer RNA (76 nucleotides) under Bacteroides sp. Its description in RNAcentral is "tRNA-His". It matches the Rfam family "tRNA". Rfam says of the family: Transfer RNA (tRNA) molecules are approximately 80 nucleotides in length. Their secondary structure includes four short double-helical elements and three loops (D, anti-codon, and T loops). RNAcentral also lists the same sequence under 1 other name. Lineage: Bacteria; Pseudomonadati; Bacteroidota; Bacteroidia; Bacteroidales; Bacteroidaceae. The record is from RNAcentral.
GGUGAAAUUAGCUCAGCUGGUUAGAGCGUCGGAUUGUGGUUCCGAAGGUCGUGGGUUCGAACCCCACACUUCACCC